CCGACGUCGCAUGCUCCCGGCCGCCAUGGCGGCCGCGGGAAUUCGAUUCGUCUGAUUAGCUAGUUGGUGUGGUAAGAGCGCACCAAGGCGACGAUCAGUAGCUGGUCUGAGAGGAUGACCAGUCACACUGGGACUGAGACACGGCCCAGACUCCUACGGGAGGCAGCAGUGGGGAAUUUUCCGCAAUGGGCGAAAGCCUGACGGAGCAAUACCGCGUGAGGGAGGAAGGCUCUUGGGUUGUAAACCUCUUUUCUCAGGGAAUAAGAAAGUGAAGGUACCUGAGGAAUCAGCAUCGGCUAACUCCGUGCCAGCAGCCGCGGUAAUACGGAGGAUGCAAGCGUUAUCCGGAAUGAUUGGGCGUAAAGCAUCCGCAGGUGGUUGCUCAAGUCUGCUGUCAAAGAGUCUGGCUCAACCAGAUAAAGGCAGUGGAAACUGAGAGACUAGAGUGCGGUAGGGGCAGAGGGAAUUCCUGGUGUAGCGGUGAAAUGCGUAGAGAUCAGGAAGAACACCGGUGGCGAAAGCGCUCUGCUGGACCGCAACUGACACUGAGGGACGAAAGCUAGGGGAGCGAAUGGGAUUAGAUACCCCAGUAGUC
Molecule: ribosomal RNA, 595 nt
Filed under: uncultured Stigonematales cyanobacterium
Lineage: Bacteria; Bacillati; Cyanobacteriota; Cyanophyceae; Nostocales; Stigonemataceae
Description: bacterial SSU rRNA
Rfam family: Bacterial small subunit ribosomal RNA
Source: RNAcentral